RNAcentral lists this transfer RNA (77 nucleotides) under Christensenellaceae bacterium. RNAcentral describes it as "tRNA-Arg". It matches the Rfam family "tRNA". Rfam says of the family: Transfer RNA (tRNA) molecules are approximately 80 nucleotides in length. Their secondary structure includes four short double-helical elements and three loops (D, anti-codon, and T loops). Further hydrogen bonds mediate the characteristic L-shaped molecular structure. tRNAs have two regions of fundamental functional importance: the anti-codon, which is responsible for specific mRNA codon recognition, and the 3' end, to which the tRNAs corresponding amino acid is attached (by aminoacyl-tRNA synthetases). tRNAs cope with the degeneracy of the genetic code in two manners: having more than one tRNA (with a specific anti-codon) for a particular amino acid; and 'wobble' base-pairing, i.e. permitting non-standard base-pairing at the 3rd anti-codon position. Lineage: Bacteria; Bacillati; Bacillota; Clostridia; Christensenellales; Christensenellaceae. The record is from RNAcentral.
GCGCCUGUAGCUCAGCAGGAUAGAGCAACGGCCUUCUAAGCCGUGUGUCCUGGGUUCGAAUCCCCGCAGGCGCGCCA